CAAAAAGGAAAACGAGGCGUGCUCAAUCAGCUCCUUUUAGUUGUUUAAAAUGUUGGUGAUUAAAAACACAAUGGAGAUAUUCCAAGAAAAAGUUCCAACACGGGAAAGCCCACCUUAUUUCAAGCAAAUUUACAAUUUGUAGAAGAAGGGGAGGUGCCCUUCAUGGGAGAAUCGCCAGUCAGCAGGAGAAUGCACAUCUCAGAAUCUGAUGCAUAAACCUAAGAACAUUCACUAUUACAUCAACAUCUGUACUCAAACUGAGAACCUCACCGGGUCACACAGACAACCAGUCUAGAGAAUGUACUAAGCAGAAUGCAAGCGCUUGAAAUCACAUGUUCAACUCAUGCGCAGGGAUUGGAGUUGCAUCUGAAAGCAGUUGAGGAGGCCGUGAAAAAAAUUGAAGACAUUUCUCUUCAAUCAAUCAACAACAGCCUUAAAGUGAUGGAGGCCACUUUUUUCUCUGCACAGAAAAUUGCUAGCAAUACUGGUGGACCGCUAAGAACAUUUCUUUUUUUUGGAGGGGGGGAAUCGAUAGCAUCCUUACCCCCCACACACAUCCAUAAAUAGAGGCAUAAAUAGAGGCUGCUUUUAUAAUGUAGGCCAAAUUUAAGUUGUUGCAAGGAAUGGUUAUUAUUGUUUUAUUUGAGGUUUUGUUAAAGGUUUUUUCAUUUCGGUUUUCCCCAAAUACAAGAAUAUAUAUAUUUAUCUUUUAGAAGAGGUGUCAUUCUACUUUAAUGUUAACGGAAGCCAAUUUUUUCUUGUGCCUUUAUAAAGGAGAUUAUACAGGUU
Rhineura floridana is the source of this 789-nucleotide long non-coding RNA. RefSeq lists it as uncharacterized. NCBI's taxonomy places the organism in Eukaryota, Metazoa, Chordata, Lepidosauria, Squamata, Rhineuridae. The record is from RefSeq and is a predicted model, not a curated record. The transcript has 4 exons.